CCAUGAUUGGAGUGGCGAAUACUGGCGAAGUAAUGCAGAUGCAACCCAUAUCAUAGAACCGUGGAAUUGAGGGAAUUGAGACGGCAAUGGGGUGAAUAAGGGACUUCAUGUCAUCUAAAUAUUUUUUAUGAAGCUGAAGGAUGAGUUUGGGUACGUCUCCUUGUUGCUGCGCUGCUGUUCUGUCCUGUGACUCUGUGCGAGCGAGUUUGCGGAAGCAUGCUUGAGAGAAGGAGGCAGAGUGGAUGAAGCGGAUAUAAAGAAAAGUACAUACUUGGACCAAUGAAUUCUUGACGACCUUGCUGACAUCCUGCCUCCAUUCAGCAACAUCAGGGUUGUAUUCAUCCAGAUUAGAAGAAAAUGCCAGCAGUUGAGACCUGAAGUGCUCUUAAAGGAAAUAAAUCAUUCCAUGAUGUAUACAGUGCCUGGUAAUUGAUUGUCACUCGAUGUAUGUUUUUGAACUUUCAGAAUUUAGACAUAAUCUCUUGGCUGGUCACAAGAAAACAUUCUCCAACAUCAAUGCUUCUUAGCCAAGCGAGUCCCCACACACUACAGACGUUCUGAAGGCGUGUGAGUGUCCUCCGAUCUCACAAGCCUAAAGCCAGAAUCGCUUUUACGGUGAGCAAUCCAGAGCAGAGGUGGGCGGGCUACCGAUCCCGGAGAACAGAGAUCAGCCCUGCCUCUUAUCCACUCUGCAUGUGCUCGGUGUCUAACCAGUAGGGUUCGCUGUUGUGUGAUGAGGAGAAGCAAUCCCUGCCGGUUUCCCAUCCCCCACCCCGGAAGCGUCAGAGCUAAUGUGGCCCCCCUUGGGGUCUCCAGCAAAGUUCGGCCUCUUUGCACAGCCUGGACGUGAACUGGCACCGUUCCAAGCUGUGUGACUCAUCCUGCACUCCCAGCGGCAGCUCUUUAACUGGAUGAGCCACUCGGGGAACCCCCAUGAUGCAUUCUUUAUAACUUCACAAACAAAAUCUACAAAAGGGGCAGAGAGGUGGACACGAUCCAGAUGACCUGUAGCUCCCUGAGAAAGCUUUUGACUGGUUCAGAAUAAAAUCCAAUGAAGAUGGGACGGAAAGGACUGAAGCAAGAAGUAUCAUCUGCUAUGAUUACAU
This is a long non-coding RNA of Acipenser ruthenus (sterlet), 1106 nucleotides long. RefSeq lists it as uncharacterized. NCBI's taxonomy places the organism in Eukaryota, Metazoa, Chordata, Actinopteri, Acipenseriformes, Acipenseridae. The transcript is spliced from 5 exons. The record is from RefSeq and is a predicted model, not a curated record.